UACAGAGGGGGCUAGCGUUGUUCGGAAUUACUGGGCGUAAAGGGCGCGUAGGUGGCCUGUUAAGUCGAACGUGAAAUCCCCGGGCUCAACCCGGGAACUGCGUCCGAGACUGGCAGGCUCGAAUCCGGGAGAGGGAUGUGGAAUUCCAGGUGUAGCGGUGAAAUGCGUAGAUAUCUGGAGGAACACCGGUGGCGAAGGCGGCAUCCUGGACCGGUAUUGACGCUGAGGCGCGAAAGCGUGGGGAGCAAACAGG
RNAcentral lists this ribosomal RNA (253 nucleotides) under uncultured bacterium. RNAcentral describes it as "partial 16S ribosomal RNA". It matches the Rfam family "Bacterial small subunit ribosomal RNA", at positions 524 to 776 of the family's 1533-position model. The record is from RNAcentral.